This 246-nucleotide ribosomal RNA is filed under the name Salmonella enterica. Its description in RNAcentral is "partial 23S ribosomal RNA". It matches the Rfam family "Bacterial large subunit ribosomal RNA", at positions 1165 to 1325 of the family's 2925-position model. The record is from RNAcentral. Lineage: Bacteria; Pseudomonadati; Pseudomonadota; Gammaproteobacteria; Enterobacterales; Enterobacteriaceae. RNAcentral also lists the same sequence under 1 other name.
GGAAGAUGUAACGGGGCUAAACCAUGCACCGAAGCUGCGGCAGCGAACGUAUCACCCAAGACAACUUUACGGAGUUGACGAUUGACGGAGCGAAGCGACGUCAAAGCGUUCAUUAAAGUCGAGUUGGCUUAGGGAUACGUUCGUUGGGUAGGGGAGCGUUCUGUAAGCCUGUGAAGGUGUGUCGUGAGGCAUGCUGGAGGUAUCAGAAGUGCGAAUGCUGACAUAAGUAACGAUAAAGCGGGUGAA